Molecule: ribosomal RNA, 454 nt
Filed under: uncultured bacterium
Lineage: Bacteria
Description: bacterial SSU rRNA
Rfam family: Bacterial small subunit ribosomal RNA
Source: RNAcentral
UACGGAAGGCAGCAGUGGGGAAUAUUGCACAAUGGGCGAAAGCCUGAUGCAGCUAUGCCGCGUGUAUGAAGAAGGCCUUAGGGUUGUAAAGUACUUUCAUCGGGGAGGAAAAAACAAACUAAUAAUUUUAUUUCUUGACGUUACCCGAAAAAGAAGCACCGGCUAACUCCGUGCCAGCAGCCGCGGUAAUACGGAGGGUGCUAGCGUUAAUCAGAAUUACUGGGCGUAAAGAGCACGUAGGUGGUUUUUUUAAGUCAGAUGUGAAUCCCUGGGCUUAACCUAGGAACUGCAUUUUGAAACUGAAAUACUAGAGUAUCGUAGAGGGAGGUAGAAUUCUAGGUGUAGCGGUGAAAUGCGUAGAUAUCUGGAGGAAUACCUGUGGCGAAAGCGGCCUCCUAAACGAAUACUGACACUGAGGUGCGAAAGCGUGGGGAGCAAACAGGGAUUAGAUACC